Molecule: transfer RNA, 66 nt
Filed under: Deporaus tristis
Lineage: Eukaryota; Metazoa; Arthropoda; Insecta; Coleoptera; Attelabidae
Description: tRNA-Phe
Rfam family: tRNA
About the family: Transfer RNA (tRNA) molecules are approximately 80 nucleotides in length. Their secondary structure includes four short double-helical elements and three loops (D, anti-codon, and T loops).
Source: RNAcentral
ACUUAAAUAGCUUAAUUAGAGAGUAUAGCAUUGAAGAUGCUGGGGUAAUAAUAAUAUUUUUAAGUA